RNAcentral lists this non-coding RNA (28 nucleotides) under Mus musculus (house mouse). Lineage: Eukaryota; Metazoa; Chordata; Mammalia; Rodentia; Muridae. The record is from RNAcentral.
UUGGUUCCUUUGAGUUUUCAGUCUGUGA